CAAGGUCUCCGUUGGUGAACCAGCGGGGGGGAUCAAAUUA
RNAcentral lists this ribosomal RNA (40 nucleotides) under Telimena sp. RNAcentral's name for it is "partial 18S ribosomal RNA". Lineage: Eukaryota; Fungi; Ascomycota; Sordariomycetes; Phyllachorales; Telimenaceae. The record is from RNAcentral.